Molecule: transfer RNA, 86 nt
Filed under: Actinomycetes bacterium
Lineage: Bacteria; Bacillati; Actinomycetota; Actinomycetes
Also listed under: 4 other names
Description: tRNA-Leu
Rfam family: tRNA
About the family: Transfer RNA (tRNA) molecules are approximately 80 nucleotides in length. Their secondary structure includes four short double-helical elements and three loops (D, anti-codon, and T loops).
Source: RNAcentral
GGGCGAGUGGCGAAAUGGCAGACGCGCUAGCUUCAGGUGCUAGUGAUCGUAAGAUCGUGGGGGUUCAAGUCCCCCCUCGCCCACCA